AGAAUCAACGCUGGCGGCGUGCCUAACACAUGCAAGUCGUACGCGAAAGUCCCGCAAGGGAUGAGUAGAGUGGCAAACGGGUGAGUAACACGUGGGUGACCUGCCUUCGAGUGAGGAAUAACGUCCCGAAAGGGACGCUAAUACCGCAUGACAUCCUGCUUUUAGAAAAGCGGAGAUUAAAGCCGAGGAUCGCAAGACCUGGCGCUUGAAGAGGGGCCCGCGCCUGAUUAGCUAGUUGGUAGGAUAAUGGCCUACCAAGACUACGAUCAGUAGCCGGCCUGAGAGGGCGACGGCCACGACUGGACUGAGACGACGGCCAGACUCCUACGGGAGGCAGCAGUGGGAAUUGUUCGCAAGUGAGCGCAAGCCUGACGACGCAACGCCGCGUGGAGGAUGGAAGACGUUUUUUCGGAGUUACGUAAACUCCGUUAGUCGA
RNAcentral lists this ribosomal RNA (436 nucleotides) under uncultured soil bacterium. RNAcentral describes it as "bacterial SSU rRNA". It matches the Rfam family "Bacterial small subunit ribosomal RNA", at positions 26 to 442 of the family's 1533-position model. The record is from RNAcentral.